AUUGAACGCUGGCGGCAGGCCUAACACAUGCAAGUCGAACGGUAACAGGAAGAAGCUUGCUUCUUUGCUGACGAGUGGCGGACGGGUGAGUAAUGUCUGGGAAACUGCCUGAUGGAGGGGGAUAACUACUGGAAACGGUAGCUAAUACCGCAUAAUGUCGCAAGACCAAAGAGGGGGACCUUCGGGCCUCUUGCCAUCGGAUGUGCCCAGAUGGGAUUAGCUAGUAGGUGGGGUAACGGCUCACCUAGGCGACGAUCCCUAGCUGGUCUGAGAGGAUGACCAGCCACACUGGAACUGAGACACGGUCCAGACUCCUACGGGAGGCAGCAGUGGGGAAUAUUGCACAAUGGGCGCAAGCCUGAUGCAGCUAUGCCGCGUGUAUGAAGAAGGCCUUCGGGUUGUAAAGUACUUUCAGCGGGGAGGAAUGGAGUAAAGUUAAUACCUUUGCUCAUUGACGUUACCCGCAGAAGAAGCACCGGCUAACUCCGUG
This 490-nucleotide ribosomal RNA is filed under the name uncultured bacterium. Its description in RNAcentral is "partial 16S ribosomal RNA". It matches the Rfam family "Bacterial small subunit ribosomal RNA", at positions 30 to 507 of the family's 1533-position model. The record is from RNAcentral.